RNAcentral lists this ribosomal RNA (396 nucleotides) under uncultured bacterium. RNAcentral's name for it is "partial 16S ribosomal RNA". It matches the Rfam family "Bacterial small subunit ribosomal RNA", at positions 360 to 773 of the family's 1533-position model. The record is from RNAcentral.
AAUAUUGGACAAUGGGCGAAAGCCUGAUCCAGCCAUGCCGCGUGAGUGAUGGCGGCCCUAGGGUUGUAAAGCUCUUUCCGCGGGGAGGAUAAUGACGUUACCCGCAGAAGAAGCCCCGGCUAACUUCGUGCCAGCAGCCGCGGUGAUACGAAGGGGGCAAGCGUUGUUCGGAAUCACUGGGCGUAAAGCGCGCGUAGGCGGAUUGUUAAGUCAGGGGUGAAAGCCCGAGGCUCAACCUCGGAACUGCCUUUGAUACUGGCAAUCUUGAGUCCGGGAGAGGUGAGUGGAACUCCUAGUGUAGAGGUGAAAUUCGUAGAUAUUAGGAAGAACACCAGUGGCGAAGGCGGCUCACUGGCCCGGUACUGACGCUGAUGCGCGAAAGCGUGGGGAGCAAAC